RNAcentral lists this ribosomal RNA (441 nucleotides) under uncultured bacterium. Its description in RNAcentral is "partial 16S ribosomal RNA". It matches the Rfam family "Bacterial small subunit ribosomal RNA", at positions 338 to 795 of the family's 1533-position model. The record is from RNAcentral.
CCUACGGGAGGCAGCAGUGGGGAAUAUUGCACAAUGGGGGAAACCCUGAUGCAGCGACGCCGCGUGAGUGAAGAAGUAUUUCGGUAUGUAAAGCUCUAUCAGCAGGGAAGAAGCAAGACGGUACCGGACUAAGAAGCCCCGGCUAACUACGUGCCAGCAGCCGCGGUAAUACGGAGGGGGCAAGCGUUAUCCGGAUUUACGGGGUGUAAAGGGAGCGUAGACGGUAUGGCAAGUCGGAAGUGAAAGCCCAGGGCUUAACCCUGGGACUGCUUUGGAAACUGUUAGACUAGAGUGCUGGAGCGGUAAGUGGAAUUCCUAGUGUAGCGGUGACAUGCGUAGAUAUUAGGAGGAACCCCAGUGGCGACGGCGGCUUACUGGACCGUAACUGCCGUUGAGGCUCGACCGCGUGGGGAGCAAACAGGAUUAGAUACCCGGGUAGUC